GGCCCUACGGGGCGCAGCAGGCGCGAAAACUUUACAAUGCGGGCAACCGUGAUAAGGGAACCUCGAGUGCCAGGUUACAAAUCUGGCUGUCGAGAUGCCUAAAAAGCAUUUCAUAGCAAGGGCCGGGCAAGACCGGUGCCAGCCGCCGCGGUAACACCGGCGGCUCGAGUGGUAACCGUUAUUAUUGGGUCUAAAGGGUCUGUAGCCGGCCGGAUAAGUCUCUUGAGAAAUCUGGCAGCUUAACUGUCAGGCUUUCAGGAGAUACUGUCUGGCUCGAGGCCGGGAGAGGUGAGAGGUACUUCAGGGGUAGGGGUGAAAUCUUGUAAUCCUUGAAGGACCACCAGUGGCGAAGGCGUCUCACCAGAACGGACCUGACGGCAAGGGACGAAAGCUAGGGGCACGAACCGGAUUAGAUACCCGGGUAGUCCUAGCCGUAAACGAUACUCGCUAGGUGUCGGCCACGGUGCGACCGUUGUCGGUGCCGUAGGGAAGCCGUGAAGCGAGCCACCUGGGAAGUACGGCCGCAAGGCUGAAACUUAAAGGAAUUGGCGGGGGAGCACCACAACGGGUGGAGCUUGCGGUUUAAUUGGAUUCAACGCCGGAAAUCUU
This 609-nucleotide ribosomal RNA is filed under the name uncultured archaeon. RNAcentral describes it as "bacterial SSU rRNA". It matches the Rfam family "Archaeal small subunit ribosomal RNA", at positions 319 to 928 of the family's 1478-position model. The record is from RNAcentral.